This 496-nucleotide ribosomal RNA is filed under the name uncultured bacterium. RNAcentral describes it as "partial 16S ribosomal RNA". It matches the Rfam family "Bacterial small subunit ribosomal RNA", at positions 29 to 507 of the family's 1533-position model. The record is from RNAcentral.
AUGAACGCUGGCGGCGUGCCUAAUACAUGCAAGUCGAGCGAACAGACGAGGAGCUUGCUCCUCUGACGUUAGCGGCGGACGGGUGAGUAACACGUGGAUAACCUACCUAUAAGACUGGGAUAACUUCGGGAAACCGGAGCUAAUACCGGAUAAUAUAUUGAACCGCAUGGUUCAAUAGUGAAAGACGGUUUUGCUGCCACUUAUAGAUGGAUCCGCGCCGCAUUAGCUAGUUGGUAAGGUAACGGCUUACCAAGGCGACGAUGCGUAGCCGACCUGAGAGGGUGAUCGGCCACACUGGAACUGAGACACGGUCCAGACUCCUACGGGAGGCAGCAGUAGGGAAUCUUCCGCAAUGGGCGAAAGCCUGACGGAGCAACGCCGCGUGAGUGAUGAAGGUCUUCGGAUCGUAAAACUCUGUUAUUAGGGAAGAACAAAUGUGUAAGUAACUAUGCACGUCUUGACGGUACCUAAUCAGAAAGCCACGGCUAACUACGUG